RNAcentral lists this non-coding RNA (135 nucleotides) under Polytomella parva. Lineage: Eukaryota; Viridiplantae; Chlorophyta; Chlorophyceae; Chlamydomonadales; Chlamydomonadaceae. The record is from RNAcentral.
CCGCACAUAUCGAUCGCGAUGGACAAGAAUCGAACUCGUGGCCAAAGGAAUGGAGAAACGAUAUGGAGUCCGAGGCCCUUGAGUUUAACUCUUCAAGACCGGUUUUUCAACCCGGAUCUCAAUCUCAAUCUCAAU